This 378-nucleotide unclassified non-coding RNA is filed under the name uncultured Kiritimatiellota bacterium. Its description in RNAcentral is "uncultured Kiritimatiellaeota bacterium contains 16S-23S intergenic spacer region". Lineage: Bacteria; Pseudomonadati; Kiritimatiellota. The record is from RNAcentral.
UCCUGCUUUGUACAGGCAGUCUGUUUAGAGUGCCCAGCAUUACCUGGUAGCAACUAAACACAGGGGUUGCGUUCGUUGCGGGACUUAACCCAACACCUCACGGCACGAACUGACGACAGCCAUGCAGCACCUGUGCAGCACCCUCGAAGGAAUCCGCCUUUCGACGGACGUGCAGCUGCAUGUCAAGCCCUGGUAAGGUUCUUCGCGUUGCAUCGAAUUGAGCCACAUGCUCCUCCGCUUGUGCGGGCCCCCGUCAAUUUCUUUGAGUUUUAGUCUUGCGACCGUACUCCCCAGGCGGUGCACUUAACGCGUUAGCUCCGGCACGGAAGGGGUCAAUUCCUCCCACACCAAGUGCACACCGUUUACGGCUGGGACUAC